GCUCAGCCAUAAACAGCGACCUUACACCCACAAUAAGGUCCGCCAGAGAACUACAAGCGAAAAGCUAGAAACCCAAAGGACUUGGCGGUGCUUCAAACCAACCUAGAGGAGCCUGUCCUAUAAUCGAUACUCCCCGUUCUACCCCACCACUUUUAGUCAAUCAGCCUAUAUACCGCCGUCGUCAGCCUACCUUGUGAAAGAAACACAGUAGGCAAAAUAGUUAACAACUAACACGUCAGGUCAAGGUGUAGCACAUGAAGUGGAAGAGAUGGGCUACAUUUUUCCCACAAACACACGAACAACGUGUUGAAACACAGGUUUAAAGGUGGAUUUAGUAGUAAUAUAGAUAAGUAAAUUUAUAUAAAACCCGCUCUGAAGCGCGC
This 383-nucleotide ribosomal RNA is filed under the name Scincella rupicola. RNAcentral's name for it is "partial 12S rRNA". It matches the Rfam family "Bacterial small subunit ribosomal RNA", at positions 794 to 1384 of the family's 1533-position model. The record is from RNAcentral. Lineage: Eukaryota; Metazoa; Chordata; Lepidosauria; Squamata; Scincidae.